AUUGAACGCUGGCGGCAGGCCUAACACAUGCAAGUCGAGCGAGCGGCGGACGGGUGAGUAAUGUAUGGGGACUGCCCGAUGGAGGGGGAUAACUACUGGAAACGGUGGCUAAUACCGCAUACUAUCGGAUAACCCAUAUGGGAUUAGCUAGUAGGUGGGGUAAAGGCUCACCUAGGCGACGAUCCCUAGCUGGUCUGAGAGGAUGAUCAGCCACACUGGAACUGAGACACGGCCCAGACUCCUACGGAGGCAGCAGUGGGGAAUAUUGCGCAAUGGGCGAAAGCCUGAUGCAGCCAUGCCGCGUGUAUGAAGAAGGCCUUAGGGUUGUAAAGUACUGUCAGCAGGGAGGCGGUACCCACACAAGAAGCACCGGCUAACUCCGUGCCAGCAGCCGCGGUAAUUC
Molecule: ribosomal RNA, 403 nt
Filed under: uncultured bacterium
Lineage: Bacteria
Description: partial 16S ribosomal RNA
Rfam family: Bacterial small subunit ribosomal RNA
Source: RNAcentral